Molecule: small RNA, 28 nt
Filed under: Bombyx mori (domestic silkworm)
Lineage: Eukaryota; Metazoa; Arthropoda; Insecta; Lepidoptera; Bombycidae
Description: ovarian small RNA-37096
Source: RNAcentral
UUCCAACAGUAAAGCUUGUUACGGUUCC